CAGGCUUGUAGCUCAGGUGGUUAGAGCGCACCCCUGAUAAGGGUGAGGUCGGUGGAUCAAGUCCAC
Molecule: transfer RNA, 66 nt
Filed under: Escherichia coli 3-020-07_S3_C2
Lineage: Bacteria; Pseudomonadati; Pseudomonadota; Gammaproteobacteria; Enterobacterales; Enterobacteriaceae
Description: partial tRNA-Ile
Rfam family: tRNA
About the family: Transfer RNA (tRNA) molecules are approximately 80 nucleotides in length. Their secondary structure includes four short double-helical elements and three loops (D, anti-codon, and T loops).
Source: RNAcentral